This 77-nucleotide transfer RNA is filed under the name Bacteriophage sp. RNAcentral describes it as "tRNA-Asp". It matches the Rfam family "tRNA". From Rfam's summary of the family: Transfer RNA (tRNA) molecules are approximately 80 nucleotides in length. Their secondary structure includes four short double-helical elements and three loops (D, anti-codon, and T loops). The record is from RNAcentral. RNAcentral also lists the same sequence under 1 other name.
GGAAUUAUAGCUCAGUUGGUUAGAGCGCUGCCCUGUCACGGCAGAGGUCGCGAGUUCGAGUCUCGUUGAUUCCGCCA